This 485-nucleotide long non-coding RNA is filed under the name Vigna radiata. RNAcentral's name for it is "long non-coding RNA (VRAD_LNC005986)". The record is from RNAcentral. Lineage: Eukaryota; Viridiplantae; Streptophyta; Magnoliopsida; Fabales; Fabaceae.
GUCUAUCUUGAAAGAAUUUGUGUUAAAAAUAUCAUUUCUCAAUUCAGAAUAAAAUUGUCAUCCUUUUAUUAUUGAAGGAAAAAUGACAUUACAUAUUAACUAAGCCUAUCUUGAAGCAACAAAGUUUGGAGGGGAGGAAAUUUAUAUUCGUUCCUAAUCAUGAAAGACCAUUGUGAUUCAAACAUUAGGAGACAACAAAUCACACAAAGCAAACCAGAUAAAAAAUCUUAAGGAACUCAAAUUACAAUGCAAAAAGUAUUUUCUUUAUAUAAAUAUGGAAUACCUAAUUCUAUAUAAGAAAUGGUUAUUUUGAAAAGCCUUAUCACAUCCAACAAUCUAUACUAUAGGGUCAGAGAUUAUACCAAGACACUUUUACACACAGGAUUCCAACUAUUCCCUCAAAUUCUUACAAGACACCUUCGUACAAAACUAACUCCAAUUCUUACUAGUUUGCUUAUUAGCACUACCUAAGUAUUGAAUAUGGU